AUUGAACGCUGGCGGCAUGCCUUACACAUGCAAGUCGAACGGCAGCAUAGGAGCUUGCUCCUGGUGGCGAGUGGCGAACGGGUGAGUAAUAUAUCGGGACGUGCCCUAGAGUGGGGGAUAACUAGUCGAAAGACUAGCUAAUACCGCAUACGAUCUACGGAUGAAAGUGGGGGAUCGCAAGACCUCAUGCUCCUGGAGCGGCCGAUAUCUGAUUAGCUAGUUGGUGGGGUAAAAGCUCACCAAGGCGACGAUCAGUAGCUGGUCUGAGAGGACGACCAGCCACACUGGGACUGAGACACGGCCCAGACUCCUACGGGAGGCAGCAGUGGGGAAUUUUGGACAAUGGGGGCAACCCUGAUCCAGCAAUGCCGCGUGAGUGAAGAAGGCCUUCGGGUUGUAAAGCUCUUUUGUCAGGGAAGAAACGGUUCUGGAUAAUACCUGGGACUAAUGACGGUACCUGAAGAAUAAGCACCGGCUAACUACGUGCCAGCCGCCGCCGUAA
This 502-nucleotide ribosomal RNA is filed under the name uncultured bacterium. RNAcentral describes it as "partial 16S ribosomal RNA". It matches the Rfam family "Bacterial small subunit ribosomal RNA", at positions 30 to 523 of the family's 1533-position model. The record is from RNAcentral.